GAGUGAACGCUGGCGGUAGGCCUAACACAUGCAAGUCGAACGGCAGCACAGUAAGAGCUUGCUCUUACGGGUGGCGAGUGGCGGACGGGUGAGGAAUACAUCGGAAUCUACUUUUUCGUGGGGGAUAACGUAGGGAAACUUACGCUAAUACCGCAUACGACCUACGGGUGAAAGCAGGGGAUCUUCGGACCUUGCGCGAUUGAAUGAGCCGAUGUCGGAUUAGCUAGUUGGCGGGGUAAAGGCCCACCAAGGCGACGAUCCGUAGCUGGUCUGAGAGGAUGAUCAGCCACACUGGAACUGAGACACGGUCCAGACUCCUACGGGAGGCAGCAGUGGGGAAUAUUGGACAAUGGGCGCAAGCCUGAUCCAGCCAUACCGCGUGGGUGAAGAAGGCCUUCGGGUUGUAAAGCCCUUUUGUUGGGAAAGAAAAGCAGCAGGUUAAUACCCCGCUGUUCUGACGGUACCCAAAGAAUAAGCACCGGCUAACUUCGG
Molecule: ribosomal RNA, 492 nt
Filed under: uncultured bacterium
Lineage: Bacteria
Description: partial 16S ribosomal RNA
Rfam family: Bacterial small subunit ribosomal RNA
Source: RNAcentral